This 379-nucleotide ribosomal RNA is filed under the name uncultured eukaryote. RNAcentral describes it as "partial 18S ribosomal RNA". It matches the Rfam family "Eukaryotic small subunit ribosomal RNA", at positions 592 to 976 of the family's 1831-position model. The record is from RNAcentral.
CAAUAGCGUAUAUUUAAGUUGUUGCAGUUAAAAAGCUCGUAGUUGGAUUUCGGAUGGGACUUGCCGGUCCGUCGUUUCGAUGUGCACUGGCCAGUCCUAUCUUGUUGUCGGGGACUAGCUCCUGGGCUUCACUGUCCGGGACUAGGAGCUGACGAGGUUACUUUGAGUAAAUUAGAGUGUUCAAAGCAAGCCUACGCUCUGAAUACAUUAGCAUGGAAUAACGCGAUAGGACUCUGGCUUAUCUUGUUGGUCUGUGAGACCAGAGUAAUGAUUAAGAGGGACAGUCGGGGGCAUUCGUAUUUCAUUGUCAGAGGUGAAAUUCUUGGAUUUAUGAAAGACGAACUUCUGCGAAAGCAUUUGUCAAGGAUGUUUUCAUUAA